CUCCUCACAGGAUCGCACCUGGAGAGUUUUCAGUACUCCACCAGUCUCAGCUAUGGGAGGGAGAGUCAAGCAGAGGCAUAUUCAUUUCAUUCCUAGCUUGGGCAGUGGCUAACUAAUGGAAGGCAUUCUGCUACAAGU
This is a small nucleolar RNA of Tachyglossus aculeatus (Australian echidna), 138 nucleotides long. The record is from RefSeq and is a predicted model, not a curated record. NCBI's taxonomy places the organism in Eukaryota, Metazoa, Chordata, Mammalia, Monotremata, Tachyglossidae.